GAUGAACGCUGACAGAAUGCUUAACACAUGCAAGUCAACUUGAACUUCGGUUUGGGUGGCGGACGGGUGAGUAACGCGUAAAGAACUUGCCUCACAGAUAGGGACAACAUUUGGAAACGAAUGCUAAUACCUGAUAUUAUGAUUUUAGGGCAUCCUAGGAUUAUGAAAGCUAUAUGCGCUGUGAGAGAGCUUUGCGUCCCAUUAGCUAGUUGGAGAGGUAACGGCUCACCAAGGCGAUGAUGGGUAGCCGGCCUGAGAGGGUGAUCGGCCACAAGGGGACUGAGACACGGCCCAGACUCCUACGGGAGGCAGCAGUAGGGAAUCUUCCGCAAUGGACGAAAGUCUGACGGAGCAACGCCGCGUGAGUGAAGAAGGUUUUCGGAUCGUAAAACUCUGUUGUUAAAGAAGAACAAGGAUGAGAGUAACUGCUCAUCCCCUGACGGUAUUUAACCAGAAAGCCACGGCUAACUACGUGCCAGCAGCCGCGGUAAUACGUAGGUGGCAAGCGUUGUCCGGAUUUAUUGGGCGUAAAGCGAGCGCAGGCGGUUCUUUAAGUCUGAUGUGAAAGCCCCCGGCUCAACCGGGGAGGGUCAUUGGAAACUGGAGAACUUGAGUGCAGAAGAGGAGAGUGGAAUUCCACGUGUAGCGGUGAAAUGCGUAGAUACGUGGAGGAACACCAGUGGCGAAGGCGACUCUCUGGUCUGUAACUGACGCUGAGGCUCGAAAGCGUGGGGAGCAAACAGG
Molecule: ribosomal RNA, 744 nt
Filed under: uncultured Kingella sp.
Lineage: Bacteria; Pseudomonadati; Pseudomonadota; Betaproteobacteria; Neisseriales; Neisseriaceae
Description: bacterial SSU rRNA
Rfam family: Bacterial small subunit ribosomal RNA
Source: RNAcentral